CAUGUCAAAUUCAUCUUUAUAUUGAAACUUGUGUCUCAGAUAUUUAAAGCAUAUUCAAAGUUUUAUGUGCUAAUUAAGGAAUAUAUAUUCAAUGUUAGCAUUUUGUUUAUAUAUUGGAAUAUGUGGAAGUCGUUAGCAAUGAACCUGGAUGUAUGAAGACAUUCACAAAUGCAGAAUGCCUUAAAGCACAUAUCAAAACUUCUCACCUUUAUGUUGAUUGUGUGAUUUGUGGAACAAAACAGUUGAAGAAGAAUAUUAAACGACAUGAACACAUGCAUGAAGCAAGUGAGGUGACUGAGAGGACAAAAUGUAACUUUGAAGGUAUCAAAUCUCAGACAGCACAUAAAAGCAGUCCAUCAAAAUCUUCGUCCAUUUGCAUGUAGAUUUUCUAAAUGUGGGAAGAAAUUUCCCUACAAGCAUGUCAGGGAUAACCAUGAAAAAUCUGGUGUGCACAGUUAUAUUCAAGGUGACUUCCUAGAAAUCGACGAGCAGUGGCAGUCACGGCCACGAGGUGGACGGAAAAGAAAGUGUCCUUCUAUCGGAUCUUUCUGCAGGAAGAGGAUUGUUUCACCUGAGCAAGCAUCAACGCUUAUGUACAAUGUUCUCCGGAACAUGAUGCAAGCAGAGUUUUGCUGGUGGGACGAAAUAGAAUAGGUGAUUGUUUUUGUGCAAGAAGAGUUUCGUUUUCCCUUCUACCCAACUCUUUUCCUUGCUUCUAAUUUGAGUUUUGUGCAAGCAGAGUUUUGCUUCUAAUUUAAGCAUUCAAAUUAGUCAUCUUGUU
Molecule: long non-coding RNA, 781 nt
Organism: Zingiber officinale
Lineage: Eukaryota; Viridiplantae; Streptophyta; Magnoliopsida; Zingiberales; Zingiberaceae
Exons: 3
Source: RefSeq, a predicted model, not a curated record